GAAAACUGAAUAUAUAUCAAUUCUAUACUUGUUUGCCAGAAUGUUGAUACACUGAUAAUUAGCUUCUCUAGUGUGUGUGAUUUGGACAUGAAGCUCUCCUCAUCAAAAUCGACGGAAACGUUGGAGACAUUAAUGGAGAAUGACGGUAUAUCAUGGGUCACAAUUCAUUCUACUCUUUUUCAGUAGAUUUAGAACUGACUAAUCUAGCAAAAUGGUUUUGAUUGCACUCUAGUUUCCAUCGGAGCAAUCUCACAUUAGAUUGAAAGAUUAGAGUUAGGAGAGUUUGAAGCACUAAUAAACAAGUCGUCUAUUCAAAAAAUCAAAGAAUCUAUACCAUUUAGAUCCCAACUAAAUGGGCUUCUGCUCAAAAAAUUAGAGAUUUUAUAUCGUUUGAUACAACUCUGGCUCUAGAUAAGUUGAGAUGACAUGAUGAACUUCUAUAUAUAUUUUUAUUAAAAAAAUAUC
This 465-nucleotide long non-coding RNA is filed under the name Oryza brachyantha (malo sina). RNAcentral describes it as "long non-coding RNA (OBRA_LNC002917)". Lineage: Eukaryota; Viridiplantae; Streptophyta; Magnoliopsida; Poales; Poaceae. The record is from RNAcentral.